GACGAACGCUGGCGGCGUGCCUAAUACAUGCAAGUAGAACGCACAGUUUAUACCGUAGCUUGCUACACCAUAGACUGUGAGUUGCGAACGGGUGAGUAACGCGUAGGUAACCUGCCUGGUAGCGGGGGAUAACUAUUGGAAACGAUAGCUAAUACCGCAUAAUAUUGAUUAUUGCAUGAUAAUUGAUUGAAAGAUGCUAUUGCAUCACUACCAGAUGGACCUGCGUUGUAUUAGCUAGUAGGUGAGGUAACGGCUCACCUAGGCGACGAUACAUAGCCGACCUGAGAGGGUGAUCGGCCACACUGGGACUGAGACACGGCCCAGACUCCUACGGGAGGCAGCAGUAGGGAAUCUUCGGCAAUGGACGAAAGUCUGACCGAGCAACGCCGCGUGAGUGAAGAAGGUUUUCGGAUCGUAAAGCUCUGUUGUAAGAGAAGAACGGGUGUGAGAGUGGAUAGUUCACACUGUGACGGUAUCUUACCAGAAAGGGACGGCUAACUACGUG
Molecule: ribosomal RNA, 505 nt
Filed under: uncultured bacterium
Lineage: Bacteria
Description: partial 16S ribosomal RNA
Rfam family: Bacterial small subunit ribosomal RNA
Source: RNAcentral